Pelobates cultripes (western spadefoot toad) is the source of this 240-nucleotide non-coding RNA. NCBI's taxonomy places the organism in Eukaryota, Metazoa, Chordata, Amphibia, Anura, Pelobatidae. The record is from the annotation of a GenBank genome assembly.
CACUACUGCGUAGAAUUUACGGAAUUUACGGAGGGGGGGGGGGGCGAUUCCUAUGAAACUGACCUUAAAUAUAGAACACCCUAGUUCUGGAGAUGCUGGUGAAUUUGUAAUGGGAUUGUAUUGGAAAGGUGGAGGUUCAUAUAAUAAACAGGGAACCUUUUAUUUACAGGACAUGUAUCAAUCACCUGAGUGGGUAGAUUACACACACAUGACUAUUAGCCCCUCAAACCACACAUUAAG